CAUGUGCUUUGGUAGGCAAUGAAAAAUGUGUCCGUUCAUUUGUGGUUCCUCGUUUCCCAGGGGAGGGUGCUUGGAGCUCUAUAAAAAGGCCCUGUGUCUCUGAGCUCUUCACUCAUUGACUUGCAUCUCCACCGAGCGCACAAGUUCUGACUGCUGCACAAGCUUCACUACCUCAAAAUGGCCAAUGGGGAAUGUCAGUCUUCCUGCUGUUCCAAGUGUGGCUGCUCCCCCUGUCGCUGCCAGAAGAGUGGUUGGUGUCCCACGUGUGGCCGUUUCCCCUGCUGCUGUGACAGGGUUACCUGCUGUUCCAAGUGUGGCCGUUCCCCCUGCUGCUGCCGCAGGGUUACCUGCUGUACCCGCUGUGGCUGCUGUCCCUGCUCCUGCCGCAGGGGGAUCUAAUGUUCCUGCUGCUGCUGCUCCAUCGUUCAUUGCUGCUCCCCCUGUGGGUGCUCCCCCUGUGGGUGCUCCCCCUGUGGGUGCUCCCCCUGUGGGUGCUCCCCCUGCUGCUGUGACCAGUCAUGCUCCUCUUGCUAUCAGUUCAAGUGCUGAGCAUGUUAGAAAUUGCUAAUGAGUCUCUGGAUGUAAAUAACAGCAUGCCGGUGCAGCACCUGGAAACAAAAUCCUUCCUGCUCGUUGCCACCUCAACACCCGGAAUAUCAAGAUUAAUGUCAAUGCACACACAUAUAUUUAAACACCCACUGAUUGCAUUCUUGCGCUGAUGUGGCUGAGUUAGAUGCCACUUCUUCCUGCCUCCUUCAUGACAUUGGAGAUUCUUCUCUUCCAUCGCACUUGAAUAUCCUAGUAAUGGAGUCUUGGUUUGUGCAUGGCAUUUAUUGUGCUCCUAUUUUCCCUGUGGUGUUUGGGAUGUGAUUGUCUCUUCCUAGUUCUGUAUUAACUUUCCCAAUUAAAUUCUGGAAUCAUG
Long non-coding RNA from Rhineura floridana, 922 nucleotides. RefSeq lists it as uncharacterized. Lineage: Eukaryota; Metazoa; Chordata; Lepidosauria; Squamata; Rhineuridae. The transcript is spliced from 2 exons. The record is from RefSeq and is a predicted model, not a curated record.